Molecule: long non-coding RNA, 1763 nt
Organism: Eriocheir sinensis (Chinese mitten crab)
Lineage: Eukaryota; Metazoa; Arthropoda; Malacostraca; Decapoda; Varunidae
Exons: 3
Source: RefSeq, a predicted model, not a curated record
AGGAGAAAACAUAUUUUCAUUUGGUGUUUUUGAUUAAUGUGGUGACCCCCAAACUCUGCUUUCCAUGGCAGUCCCCUCGGGGCGGCGGGGGCCUCGCCGCCUCACUGUGUCGAGGUGACGGAGGCGUGGCCAGUCUUUGGCCGGCGGCGACGGCGACUCGUGGCUCAUGGUCAUAAACUAUGAUUAACUGAGCCUCAAAGUUUAUAGAAACGUAUUCCUAGACAACCUUCACUCAGGAACAACAUAUAAAGAAAUCAAAACCUGGGAGAGAACGUUCUUUUAUCAACCACUGCAGCGUCUGUUUUUCCUUAAUUCUCUGUUUUGUUUAUGAAUCUAUUUAUUUCUUUGUGUUUGUGGUGGGUGAGGUGGUGGAGGGAGUGCUGGGUGUGCAGCUCCUCGGCCAGCCACGGCUCGCUGGAGUGCAAGUGUCGGGCAGCGGAGCAUGAGCGUAACCUUCCACCACCUGUUGCUUAGGUAACGUGGCUCAACGCGGCUUGGCCAACGGAACCGUAAAGAGAGUGAAGGUGAAUAAUAGGACGUGGCGCGGCUUCUGGCACAUGUGACGUAGUGCUUCUCCCGCUCCCACGCCACAGUGCUGCCGCCGCGGGACCGCUGCUUUCUAAAUACAGUGUUGUGUGCAGGGCCCCGCCGCCGCCGCCGCCGCCACCACCACCACCUCGCCUAUGCACCUGAAUGAUUCUCUCUCGUUUUCGCAAUAUAAAUUUAAUUUGCCUGAAUCAUAUAGAAAGUGACGUUUCCAGAGCUGCAAUAAAUUGGUUUUAUGUACUUAUUUGUUGCAUUGGAGUAGAUAUCCUCCUCCAGUCAUUCUUACUCGCACCCUUUUUCCUAGUUGCAAUAAUUAGGAGUUAUGUGUUUUUUGAUGUUGCAGGUUGUGUCAUUGGAAUAGAUAUUCAUCUCUAGCCAUUCCACCCGUACCCUCGGCGGGGCUCUGCUGAACAUGUUCCUCUCGGGAAAGUGGGCGAACCUCACACGUGACUCGGCAGAUCGUCUCUCCAGCUCCACAAGAUGACCCACUCCUGCAGCCCCUUCCUUUCUCCUUCCUCGUCCCUCUAGGCAGUAAGAACAAGUGCAGCAGCCGUGCCAGGAGACAUGUGAGACGACGCUUUGGUAUUGUCUGCACUGGCCCAAAACAAGCCUGUGAGGGAAGCUCCAUGAAGCCCCAAACCGCUGCUCCGCCACUCGCCGCCUCGCUGCUCCACGCAUCGCCUGCAGUGCCCCACAUCCGUGUCUCGCCAGUGCUGCCUCCCUCUCCCUCCUGGCCUUUACGUGCACGUCUCCGGCUCAUCGCCACACCCCAUAUCCUCCUCACCCUGCCCCGCCCGUGUAGACAUCUAACCCACUGAAAGCGAAAGCUGGGCCUUUGUGGUUGCUGUGGACGCAUGGAGUCGUCGAGUGCCUGGGCCGUAGCUGUUGGCAGGAGUCUCCAGGGCUAAUGUGAUGGAGAUGAGCACUGAGGCCACGCGCAGUUAUAGUAUAUGCCCUACAACUUUACCUUACCUCCAGUGUCUGCCAAACAUCAGCUGAGGGCCCAGCAACCAAGACUAGCUCAUGACCAAGGUUACAACAAAUGCCAAGACUUUCCCCACAUGAGUGAUGGACCUGCAGCGGUACAGCGUGUCCUGCAGCCAGAUUCUACACCUGUACUACAAGACUGGACCGUAUAUCCAUACAACUAGUAGUACAAUAGUAAAUUUGUCCUUAGGUAGGUCUUUGCAGUCCCAAUUAAUAAAGUUAAAGUGGUG